This is a long non-coding RNA of Bufo bufo (common toad), 143 nucleotides long. RefSeq lists it as uncharacterized. The transcript is spliced from 3 exons. The record is from RefSeq and is a predicted model, not a curated record. NCBI's taxonomy places the organism in Eukaryota, Metazoa, Chordata, Amphibia, Anura, Bufonidae.
UACGGCGUUCACCGUAAGGGAUAAUUUACACGAUAUUUAUGUAGUCUGGGUCGUUACGGACGUGGCAAUAUCAAACAUAUGGGGGAGAUUUUUUUUUUUUUGCAAUUUUUUUCAUUGAAAAGCAUAUUUUAUUUAACCACUUA